UAAGAGAUAGUGUAGAGGAUGCACUUGAAGUUUUGAUUUUCAAAGUAUAGGUUCAAGUCCUAUUUUUUUAG
Molecule: transfer RNA, 71 nt
Filed under: Ensatina eschscholtzii (common Ensatina)
Lineage: Eukaryota; Metazoa; Chordata; Amphibia; Caudata; Plethodontidae
Description: tRNA-Gln
Rfam family: tRNA
About the family: Transfer RNA (tRNA) molecules are approximately 80 nucleotides in length. Their secondary structure includes four short double-helical elements and three loops (D, anti-codon, and T loops).
Source: RNAcentral